AGAGUUUGAUCCUGGCUCAGGACGAACGCUGGCGGCGUGCCUAACACAUGCAAGUCGAGCGAUGAAGUUCCUUCGGGAACGGAUUAGCGGCGGACGGGUGAGUAACACGUGGGUAACCUGCCUCAAAGAGGGGGAUAGCCUCCCGAAAGGGAGAUUAAUACCGCAUAACAUUAUUUUCUCGCAUGAGAAGAUAAUCAAAGGAGCAAUCCGCUUUGAGAUGGACCCGCGGCGCAUUAGCUAGUUGGUGAGGUAACGGCUCACCAAGGCGACGAUGCGUAGCCGACCUGAGAGGGUGAUCGGCCACAUUGGAACUGAGACACGGUCCAGACUCCUACGGGAGGCAGCAGUGGGGAAUAUUGCGCAAUGGGGGAAACCCUGACGCAGCAACGCCGCGUGAGUGAUGAAGGUCUUCGGAUUGUAAAGCUCUGUCUUUGGGGACGAUAAUGACGGUACCCAAGGAGGAAGCCACGGCUAACUACGUGCCAGCAGCCGCGGUAAUACGUAGGUGGCAAGCGUUGUCCGGAUUUACUGGGCGUAAAGAGUAUGUAGGCGGAUAUUUAAGUCAGAUGUGAAAUUCCCGGGCUUAACCUGGGCGCUGCAUUUGAAACUGGGUAUCUAGAGUGCGGGAGAGGAAAGUGGAAUUCCUAGUGUAGCGGUGAAAUGCGUAGAGAUUAGGAAGAACACCAGUGGCGAAGGCGACUUUCUGGGACCGUAACUGACGCUGAGAUACGAAAGCGUGGGGGAGCAAACAGGAUUAGAUACCCUGGUAGUCCACGCCGUAAACGAUGAAAUACUAGGUGUCGGGGGUACCACCCU
This 816-nucleotide ribosomal RNA is filed under the name uncultured Clostridium sp. RNAcentral's name for it is "bacterial SSU rRNA". It matches the Rfam family "Bacterial small subunit ribosomal RNA", at positions 8 to 840 of the family's 1533-position model. Lineage: Bacteria; Bacillati; Bacillota; Clostridia; Eubacteriales; Clostridiaceae. The record is from RNAcentral.